UUACAAUGGAGAGUUUGAUCCUGGCUCAGGAUGAACGCUAGCGCCAGGCUUAACACAUGCAAGUCGAGGGGUAACGGGGAAGCUUGCUUCCGCCGACGACCGGCGCACGGGUGCGUAACGCGUAUACAAUCUACCUUAUAC
Molecule: ribosomal RNA, 141 nt
Filed under: Flavobacteriales bacterium
Lineage: Bacteria; Pseudomonadati; Bacteroidota; Flavobacteriia; Flavobacteriales
Description: partial 16S ribosomal RNA
Rfam family: Bacterial small subunit ribosomal RNA
Source: RNAcentral